Molecule: ribosomal RNA, 471 nt
Filed under: uncultured organism
Description: partial 16S ribosomal RNA
Rfam family: Bacterial small subunit ribosomal RNA
Source: RNAcentral
ACACUCCUACGGGAGGCAGCAGUGGGGAAUAUUGCACAAUGGGCGCAAGCCUGAUGCAGCCAUGCCGCGUGUGUGAAGAAGGCCUUCGGGUUGUAAAGCACUUUCAGCGGGGAGGAAGGCGAUACGGUUAAUAACCGUGUUGAUUGACGUUACCCGCAGAAGAAGCACCGGCUAACUCCGUGCCAGCAGCCGCGGUAAUACGGAGGGUGCAAGCGUUAAUCGGAAUUACUGGGCGUAAAGCGCACGCAGGCGGUCUGUCAAGUCGGAUGUGAAAUCCCCGGGCUCAACCUGGGAACUGCAUUCGAAACUGGCAGGCUUGAGUCUUGUAGAGGGGGGUAGAAUUCCAGGUGUAGCGGUGAAAUGCGUAGAGAUCUGGAGGAAUACCGGUGGCGAAGGCGGCCCCCUGGACAAAGACUGACGCUCAGGUGCGAAAGCGUGGGGAGCAAACAGGAUUAGAAACCCCGGUAGUCC